GAUGAACGCUGGCGGCGUGCCUAAUACAUGCAAGUCGAGCGAACAGACGAGGAGUUUGCUUCUCUGACGUUAGCGGCGGACGGGUGAGUAACACGUGGAUAACCUACCUAUAAGACUGGGAUAACUUCGGGAAACCGGAGCUAAUACCGGAUAAUAUAUUGAACCGCAUGGUUCAAUAGUGAAAGACGGUUUUGCUGUCACUUAUAGAUGGAUCCGCGCCGCAUUAGCUAGUUGGUAAGGUAACGGCUUACCAAGGCAACGAUGCGUAGCCGACCUGAGAGAGUGGUCGGCCACACUGGAGCUGGGACGCGCUCCCUGGUCCUACGAGAGGCCGCAGUAGGGAAUCGUCCGCAGUAGGCGGAAGCCUGGCGGAGCAGCGGCGCGUGAGUGAUGAAGGUCUUCGGUUCGUGAAGCUCUGUUAUGGGGGAAGAACAACUGUGUAAGUAGCUGUACACGUCUUGACGGUACCUGAUCAGAAAGCCACGGCUAACUACGUG
This 497-nucleotide ribosomal RNA is filed under the name uncultured bacterium. RNAcentral describes it as "partial 16S ribosomal RNA". It matches the Rfam family "Bacterial small subunit ribosomal RNA", at positions 28 to 507 of the family's 1533-position model. The record is from RNAcentral.